Long non-coding RNA from Ipomoea nil (Japanese morning glory), 101 nucleotides. RefSeq lists it as uncharacterized. Lineage: Eukaryota; Viridiplantae; Streptophyta; Magnoliopsida; Solanales; Convolvulaceae. The transcript is spliced from 3 exons. The record is from RefSeq and is a predicted model, not a curated record.
CGGCGGCGGCGCCCUCGCCGCUCACCACUACUUCACCCAUUUUCCUUAACCGGAAAACCCAAACCUAGUACUUUCCCUAUAAUUGGAUCUAAGACGAAUCG